This 445-nucleotide ribosomal RNA is filed under the name uncultured bacterium. Its description in RNAcentral is "partial 16S ribosomal RNA". It matches the Rfam family "Bacterial small subunit ribosomal RNA", at positions 354 to 796 of the family's 1533-position model. The record is from RNAcentral.
GUAGGGAAUAUUGGACAAUGGGCGAAAGCCUGAUCCAGCCAUGCCGCGUGAUAGAUGAAGGCCCUCUGGGUUGUAAAUAUCUUUUAUCUGGGAAGAAACUCCUCUAUUCUUAGAGGCCUGACGGUACCAGAGGAAUAAGCACCGGCUAACUCCGUGCCAGCAGCCGCGGUAAUACGGAGGGUGCAAGCGUUAUCCGGAUUCACUGGGUUUAAAGGGUGCGUAGGAGGGGUGAUAAGUCAGUGGUGAAAGAUCCGGGCUUAACUUGGGAACUGCCAUUGAUACUUUCAGUCUUGAAUGUCGUAGAGGUAAGCGGAAUGUUGCAUGUAGCGGUGAAAUGCUUAGAUAUGUUACAGAACACCAAUUGCGAAGGCAGCUUACUAUGCGAUAAUUGACGCUGAGGCACGAAAGCGUGGGGAGCAAACAGGAUUAGAAACCCGUGUAGUCC